RNAcentral lists this transfer RNA (72 nucleotides) under Deltaproteobacteria bacterium TMED58. RNAcentral's name for it is "tRNA-Thr". It matches the Rfam family "tRNA". From Rfam's summary of the family: Transfer RNA (tRNA) molecules are approximately 80 nucleotides in length. Their secondary structure includes four short double-helical elements and three loops (D, anti-codon, and T loops). Lineage: Bacteria; Deltaproteobacteria. RNAcentral also lists the same sequence under 2 other names. The record is from RNAcentral.
GCUGGAGUAGCUCAGGGGUAGAGCAGCUGAUUUGUAAUCAGCCGGUCGGGGGUUCAAAUCCCUUCUCCAGCU